UACGGAGGAUCCAAGCGUUGUCCGGAAUUAUUGGGUUUAAAGGGUGCGUAGGCGGAUAUUUAAGUCAGUGGUGAAAGCCUACAGCUUAACUGUAGAAUUGCCGUUGAAACUAAAUGUCUUGAGUAUAGUUGGGGUGAAUGGAAUGUUGCAUGUAGCGGUGAAAUGCUUAGAUAUGCAACGGAACACCAAUCGCGAAGGCAAUUCACUAAACUAUUACUGACGCUGAGGCACGAAAGCGUGGGGAGCAAACAGGAUUAGAUACCCUGGUAGUCCACGCCCUAAACGUUGCAUACUAGUUGUUGGCGAUAUACUGUCAGUGACCAAGCGAAAGCAUUAAGUAUGCCACCUGGGGAGUACGACCGCAAGGUUGAA
Molecule: ribosomal RNA, 372 nt
Filed under: uncultured bacterium
Lineage: Bacteria
Description: bacterial SSU rRNA
Rfam family: Bacterial small subunit ribosomal RNA
Source: RNAcentral